This is a non-coding RNA of Cinara cedri, 205 nucleotides long. Lineage: Eukaryota; Metazoa; Arthropoda; Insecta; Hemiptera; Aphididae. The record is from the annotation of a GenBank genome assembly.
AACUCGUUAACUCCAAUCGAGUAAAUUAUUGCUAUUUUUGUUAGCGUCAGUAAAAACGCGUAAAUAUCUACAAAUACAAAUUGUGAUUCGUCGAAAAUAAGAACGAUCGAUGCGUUAACGCACAGUGGCCGGUCUAUUCCGGUCAUAUAAAAUAAUUAUAGGUACCCCCUAUACAACUCGGACCACCGCACACAUUAUUGACGAG